This 2119-nucleotide long non-coding RNA is filed under the name Sus scrofa (pig). RNAcentral describes it as "lncRNA (ENSSSCG00070007383.1)". The record is from RNAcentral. Lineage: Eukaryota; Metazoa; Chordata; Mammalia; Artiodactyla; Suidae.
GAAGACGAGCCUGGCCCCAAGGUAAGCUCACCUUUCUUGAUGUGAGGUUGGAAAAGGUGCCUCCUUUCUUCUUGGAUGUACCUCCUUCAGAAAUGGAAAUCUGAGAAAGUCCACUGUAGAUGAUAUAUGCAGAUUGCUGUGCGGAGGACUGUUGAGUCCAAGUUUGGUACCAAGCAGUAGCUCCUUCCCGGGGCAUUUGCAAAAGGGACCGCAUCAGUUCCCAAGUGUGCAGUAGGGAGCAUAUGUCUUUGAAGAAGCCGGAAUGUUGUUUUGUCUUGUUUGUCUUUUUUUGCCUUUUCUAGGGCCCCUCCCGCGGCAUAUGGAGAUGAGGUUCCCAGGCUAGGGGUCUGAUCGGAGCUGUAGCCACCGGCCUACGCCAGAGCCACAGCAACGUGGGAUCCGAGCCUCGUCUGCCACCUACACCACAGCUCAGGGCAGCGCCGGAUACUUCACCCACUGAGCAAGGCCAGGGAUCGAACCCGCAACCUCAUGGUUCUUGGUCCGAUUCGUUAACCACUGUGCCACGAUGGGAAGGCCAAAGAAGCCUGAAUGUUUGUUAAAUGUACGAGGACUUGGGAGAUCUUCCAUGAAAAGCUGGCGCCUUUUCCAAAGGGGUCUUCGCCGUGUUCUUUUGGGGAAACGGACUCAACGCUGCCUUCUGUCUGCGUGCCUGCGGUCCCCAACGGCAGGAAGACCUGUGGCCGCAGUGCAGAGGAUGCUGUGACACUCACCGUGUUUUCUCUUGUCUCAUCACAGGUGGACGGGGCGGACGAUGAAAUCUCUUGGAGCUUGGAGAGUGUGUGUGAGAGCGACCUCGCUGACAGCAACCUCGCAGAAAGUGAUCGAGACUCGGUGGCGGAGCGCACCGACUGCCGCCAGGAUGAGGAGGCUGCAGGAACUCACGACGACGAUGUUGUGGAGGCCGGUGGGAGUGAGAAGACUGAGGCAAAGCCCCGGGCUGGGGGACAUGAGGACGAGGCGGCCCCAGUACCUGAGGUGGAGGUGGAGGAGGAGGCGGGCCAGCCCCGUGAAAAUGGCCAGGAGGAGUCCUUAGCCAUCGCCUGGGCUGAGCCGGAAGACGAGCCUGGCCCCAAGGUAAGCUCACCUUUCUUGAUGUGAGGUUGGAAAAGGUGCCUCCUUUCUUCUUGGAUGUACCUCCUUCAGAAAUGGAAAUCUGAGAAAGUCCACUGUAGAUGAUAUAUGCAGAUUGCUGUGCGGAGGACUGUUGAGUCCAAGUUUGGUACCAAGCAGUAGCUCCUUCCCCGGGGCAUUUGCAAAAGGGACCGCAUCAGUUCCCAAGUGUGCAGUAGGGAGCAUAUGUCUUUGAAGAAGCCGGAAUGUUGUUUUGUCUUGUUUGUCUUUUUUUGCCUUUUCUAGGCCCCUCCCGCGGCAUAUGGAGAUGAGGUUCCCAGGCUAGGGUCUGAUCGGAGCUGUAGCCACCGGCCUACGCCAGAGCCACAGCAACGUGGGAUCCGAGCCUCGUCUGCCACCUACACCACAGCUCAGGGCAGCGCCGGAUACUUCACCCACUGAGCAAGGCCAGGGAUCGAACCCGCAACCUCAUGGUUCUUGGUCCGAUUCGUUAACCACUGUGCCACGAUGGGAAGCCAAAGAAGCCUGAAUGUUUGUUAAAUGUACGAGGACUUGGGAGAUCUUCCAUGAAAAGCUGGCGCCUUUUCCAAAGGGGUCUUCGCCGUGUUCUUUUGGGGAAACGGACUCAACGCUGCCUUCUGUCUGCGUGCCUGCGUCCCCAACGGCAGGAAGACCUGUGGCCGCAGUGCAGAGGAUGCUGUGACACUCACCGUGUUUUCUCUUGUCUCAUCACAGGUGGACGGGCGGACGAUGAAAUCUGUGAGUAUUCUGGAGCCCGGCUCUGCUGAGGAGAAGUCCAGGUGUUGAGGAAAUGGGGGGGGGGCCCGCGAGGGAGGCGGGGUGGGGGGGCUCUCCUGCUCCUUUGGUUGCAGAGACACCCUGAUUCUGGGUUCCUCUGGGAAUGAGGGUGAAGGAUGGGGUGAAAGAGACGACUUCCCAAGAAAGGGCCACCCCAGUUCUAGGGUCCCUGGACGAAAGGAGGCUCUUUGUAUGGCGUGGGUACGUGUCGGGGACACGGCGGGCGGGG